Molecule: unclassified non-coding RNA, 199 nt
Filed under: Glomeraceae sp.
Lineage: Eukaryota; Fungi; Glomeromycota; Glomeromycetes; Glomerales; Glomeraceae
Description: partial internal transcribed spacer 2
Source: RNAcentral
GUGAAUCAUCAAAUUUUUGAACGCAAAUUGCACUCUCUGCUGAGAGGAGGCCUGUUCGAGUUUCAGCCUAAAAAAAUUCGACAUAGCUGCUGUUAUGCGGUAACAUUCGUCGUAAAUUGUUUCAUCUUAAACCUUUGGGUUUAAGCGGCUUAAAAUUUUCUUUACGACUGCAAGAACGUAUCUAAUAUUGUAUUUUCUU